AUCUGGGUCUUAAAUAUUUUACUCCAAAUUCGGAUCCGAAAAUUUAAAGAGUAGUCCAUAUUCAUCGGGUCCAAUUUUUAGAAGGUCCGAAUUCAGAAGAAAAAAAAAAGGAAAAAGAAAGAAAGAUAUGGAUCUGUGGAUUUGAAUCGGAUCCUGAAUUCAUUGUCAUCCCUACUCUCACGCAUUCACUCUCUUCUUCAUCUUCCACACGUUCUCC
Molecule: long non-coding RNA, 217 nt
Filed under: Salvia miltiorrhiza (redroot sage)
Lineage: Eukaryota; Viridiplantae; Streptophyta; Magnoliopsida; Lamiales; Lamiaceae
Description: long non-coding RNA (SMIL_LNC003719)
Source: RNAcentral